UACGAAGGGGGCUAGCGUUGCUCGGAAUUACUGGGCGUAAAGCGCACGUAGGCGGUCUUUUAAGUCGGGGGUGAAAUCCUGGAGCUCAACUCCAGAACUGCCUUCGAUACUGGCGAUCUUGAGUCCGGAAGAGGUGAGUGGAACUCCUAGUGUAGAGGUGGAAUUCGUAGAUAUUGGGGAAGAACACCGGUGGCGAAGGCGGCGACCUGGUCCAUUACUGGACGCUGAGGCGCGAAAGCGUGGGGAGCAAACAGG
Molecule: ribosomal RNA, 255 nt
Filed under: uncultured bacterium
Lineage: Bacteria
Description: partial 16S ribosomal RNA
Rfam family: Bacterial small subunit ribosomal RNA
Source: RNAcentral